RNAcentral lists this unclassified non-coding RNA (336 nucleotides) under soil metagenome. Its description in RNAcentral is "partial contains 5.8S ribosomal RNA, internal transcribed spacer 2, and large subunit ribosomal RNA". The stretch from base 1 to 120 matches the Rfam family "5.8S ribosomal RNA", at positions 35 to 154 of the family's 154-position model. The record is from RNAcentral.
GAUGAAGAACGUAGCGAAAUGCGAUAAGUAAUGUGAAUUGCAGAAUUCAGUGAAUCAUCGAAUCUUUGAACGCACAUUGCGCCCGCCAGUAUUCUGGCGGGCAUGCCUGUUCGAGCGUCAUUUCAACCAUCAAGCCCCAGGCUUGUGUUGGGGACCUGCGGCUGCCGCAGGCCCUGAAAACCAGUGGCGGGCUCGCUGUCACACCGGGCGUAGUAGAUUAUAUCUCGCUCAGGGCGUGCUGCGGGUUCCGGCCGUUAAAAAGCCUUUUUUACCCAAGGUUGACCUCGGAUCAGGUAGGAAGACCCGCUGAACUUAAGCAUAUCAAUAAGCGGAGGA